AUUGAACGCUGGCGGCAGGCCUAACACAUGCAAGUCGAGCGAGCGGCGGACGGGUGAGUAAUGUAUGGGGACUGCCCGUUAGAGGGGGAUAACUACUGGAAACGGUAGCUAAUACCGCAUACUAUCGGAUAACCCAUAUGGGAUUAGCUAGUAGGUGAGGUAAUGGGCCACCUAGGCGACGAUCCCUAGCUGGUCUGAGAGGAUGAUCAGCCACACUGGGACUGAGACACGGCCCAGACUCCGACGGAGGCAGCAGGGGGGAAUAUUGCACAAUGGGCGAAAGCCUGAUGGAGCCAUGCCGCGGGUAUGAAGAAGGCCCUAGGGUUGUAAAGGACGUUCAGUAGGGAGGCGUUACCGACAGAAGAAGCAACGGCUAACUCCGUGCCAGCAGCCGCGGUAAUAC
This 403-nucleotide ribosomal RNA is filed under the name uncultured bacterium. RNAcentral describes it as "partial 16S ribosomal RNA". It matches the Rfam family "Bacterial small subunit ribosomal RNA", at positions 29 to 526 of the family's 1533-position model. The record is from RNAcentral.